GGGCUUGACAUCCCACGAACCUGCCUGAAAGGGCGGGGUGCCCGCAAGGGAGCGUGGAGACAGGUGGUGCAUGGCUGUCGUCAGCUCGUGUCGUGAGAUGUUGGGUUAAGUCCCGCAACGAGCGCAACCCUCACCCCUAGUUGCCACCGGGUAAUGCCGAGCACUCGAGGGGAACUGCCAGCGUCAAGCUGGAGGAAGGCGGGGAUGACGUCAAGUCAUCAUGCCCCUUACGUCCUGGGCUACACACGUGCUACAAUGGCCGGUACAAAGGGAUGCGAGACCGCGAGGUGGAGCCAAUCCCAAAAAGCUGGUCUAAGUUCGGAUUGCAGUCUGCAACUCGACUGCAUGAAGUAGGAAUCGCUAGUAAUCGCGCAUCAGCACGGCGCGGUGAAUACGUUCCCGGGCCUUGUACACACCGCCCGUCACACCACGAAAGCUGGCUGUACUCGAAGUCGCUGAG
Molecule: ribosomal RNA, 460 nt
Filed under: uncultured bacterium
Lineage: Bacteria
Description: bacterial SSU rRNA
Rfam family: Bacterial small subunit ribosomal RNA
Source: RNAcentral